ACAAUUAGUGUUUUACGACCACGACUGCCACUGGCAGUAUAUUGAAGGGCCGCGGUAUUAUGACCGUGCAAAGGUAGCAUAAUCAUUAGUCUUUUAAUUGAGGGCUGGAAUGAAUGGUUUGACGAAGUAAAAACUGUCUUAUUAUAAUAAUUAGAAGUUAACUUUUAAGUGAAAAGGCUUAAAUAUAUAUAGAGGACGAGAAGACCCUAUAGAGUUUUAUAUAUUUAUGUAAUUAUUUAUUAAGUUGGUUAUAAAUAAUUAUUUAAUAUAUAUUUUGUUGGGGUGACAUAAAGAUAUAAUAAACUCUUUAUUUUAUUUUACAUUGAUUUAUGGAUAAUUGAUCCAUUUUUAGUGAUCAAAAGGUUAAGUUACCUUAGGGAUAACAGCGUAAUUUUCUUUAAGAGUUCGUAUCAACAAGGAAGAUUGCGACCUCGAUGUUGGAUUAAGAAUAUAAUUAGAUGCAGCAGUUUAAUUUAUAGGUCUGUUCGACCUUUAAAUUCUUACGUGAUCUGAGUUUCAGACCGG
This 525-nucleotide ribosomal RNA is filed under the name Ducetia japonica. RNAcentral's name for it is "partial 16S large subunit ribosomal RNA". It matches the Rfam family "Bacterial large subunit ribosomal RNA", at positions 1876 to 2619 of the family's 2925-position model. Lineage: Eukaryota; Metazoa; Arthropoda; Insecta; Orthoptera; Tettigoniidae. The record is from RNAcentral.